Molecule: ribosomal RNA, 490 nt
Filed under: uncultured bacterium
Lineage: Bacteria
Description: partial 16S ribosomal RNA
Rfam family: Bacterial small subunit ribosomal RNA
Source: RNAcentral
AUUGAACGCUGGCGGCAGGCCUAACACAUGCAAGUCGAACGGUAACAGGAAGCAGCUUGCUGCUUCGCUGACGAGUGGCGGACGGGUGAGUCAUGUCUGGGAAGCUGCCUGAUGGAGGGGGAUAACUACUGGAAACGGUAGCUAAUACCGCAUAAUGUCGCAAGACCAAAGAGGGGGACCUUCUGGCCUCUUGCCAUCGGAUGUGCCCAGAUGGGAUUCGCUUGUUGGUGGGGUAACGGGUCACCAAGGCGACGAUCCCUAGCUGGUCUGAGAGGAGGACAGGCCACACGGGAGGUGAGACACGGACCAGACUCCUACGGGAGGCAGCAGUGGGGAAUAGUACACAGUGGGCGCGAGCCUGAUGCAGCCAUGCCGCGUGUAUGAAGAAGGCGUUCGGGUUGUAAAGUACUUUCAGCGGGGAGGAAGGGAGUAAAGUUAAUACCUUUGCUCAUUGACGUUACCCGGAGAAGAAGCACCGGCUAACUCCGUG